Non-coding RNA from Schistosoma curassoni, 45 nucleotides. NCBI's taxonomy places the organism in Eukaryota, Metazoa, Platyhelminthes, Trematoda, Strigeidida, Schistosomatidae. The record is from Rfam.
AUCCAACUGAUGAGUCCCAAAUAGGAUGAAACGUAUGUCCUCGAU